GAUGAACGCUGGCGGGGGGCCUAAUACAUGCAAGUCGAACGAACAGACCAUGAGCUUACGCCUUUGGCGUUAGCGGCGGCCGGGGGAGUAAGACGUGCAUAAGCUACCUAUUAGACUGGGAGAACUUCGUGGGAACGGUGCUCAUAACGUGUAAUAUAUGGAACUGCAGAGGGCAAUAGUCAAUGACAGAUUUGGUGACACAUAUAGACGGAUCCGCGCCGCCUUGUCUAGUUGGUAAGGUAACGGCCUACCAAGGCAACGAUCCGUAGCCGAACUGAGGGGGUGAUCAGCCACCCUUGAACUGAGCCACGGUCCAGACUCCUACGGGAGGCAGCAGUAGGGACUCUUGCACAAUGGGCGUAAGCCUGCUCGAGCGCCACCGCGUGAGUGACGAAGGCCUUCGGAUCGUCAAGCUCUGUUAUUGGGUAAGAACAAAAGUGUAAUUAACGAUCGACGUCCUGACGGUACCUAAUAAAAAAGCUACGGCUAACUUCGUG
This 497-nucleotide ribosomal RNA is filed under the name uncultured bacterium. RNAcentral describes it as "partial 16S ribosomal RNA". It matches the Rfam family "Bacterial small subunit ribosomal RNA", at positions 28 to 507 of the family's 1533-position model. The record is from RNAcentral.